GUUUGAUCCUGGCUCAGGAUGAACGCUAGCGGCAGGCCUAACACAUGCUAGUCGAGGGGCAGCAUAAAAUAAGCUUGCUUAUUUGGUGGCGACCGGCGCACGGGUGCGUAACGCGUAUGCAAUCUACCCUAUACUGAGGGAUAGCCCGGAGAAAUUCGGAUUAACACCUCAUAGUAAUUAAAUAUCGCAUGAUAUUUAAUUUAAAGGUCACGGUAUAGGAUGAGCAUGCGUCCCAUUAGCUAGAUGGUAAGGUAACGGCUUACCAUGGCGACGAUGGGUAGGGGGCCUGACAGGGUGGUCCCCCACACUGGUACUGACACACGGACCACACUCCUACGGGAGGCAGCAUUGAGGAAUAUUGGUCAAUGGGCGCAAGCCUGAACCAGCCAUGCCGCGUGCAGGACGAAUGCCCUAUGGGUUGUAAACUGCUUUUAUUUGGGAAUAAACCUAUUUACAUGUAUAUAGCUGAAGGUACCAAAUGAAUAACCACCGGCUAACUCCGUGCCAGCAGCCGCGGUAAUACGGAGGGUGCAAGCGUUAUCCGGAAUCAUUGGGUUUAAAGGGUCCGCAGGCGGUGCUAUAAGUCAGUGGUGAAAUCUCAUACCUUAACUAUGAAACUGCCAUUGAUACUGUACCACUUGAAUUCGGUCGAAGUGGGCGGAAUAUGACAUGUAGCGGUGAAAUGCAUAGAUAUGUCAUACAACACCGAUAGCGAAGGCAGCUCACUACGCCUGGAUUGACGCUCANGACGAAAGCGUGAGGAGCAAACAGGAUUAGAUACGCUGGUAGUCCACGCCGUAAACUAUCAAUACUCGUUUUCAGCGAUAUACAGUUGGAGACUAAGCGAAAGUGAUAAGUAAUUGCACCUGGGGGAGUACGAUCGCAAGGUUGAAACUCAAAGGAAUUGACGGGGAGCCCGCACAA
RNAcentral lists this ribosomal RNA (924 nucleotides) under uncultured bacterium. RNAcentral describes it as "bacterial SSU rRNA". It matches the Rfam family "Bacterial small subunit ribosomal RNA", at positions 11 to 928 of the family's 1533-position model. The record is from RNAcentral.